ACCUGUAAAGGGCAAACCAUCCGAAAGGGUGGGACGCAAAGCCGCUGGCCUAAGUCCCCCGCGUGGGAUAUGGCAGCAGGGUUGCCAGG
Molecule: regulatory RNA element, 89 nt
Organism: Syntrophobacter fumaroxidans MPOB
Lineage: Bacteria; Pseudomonadati; Thermodesulfobacteriota; Syntrophobacteria; Syntrophobacterales; Syntrophobacteraceae
Rfam family: c-di-GMP-I riboswitch aptamer
About the family: GEMM was predicted in a large-scale screen for bacterial structured RNA regulatory elements. Genes associated with GEMM are involved in a diverse array of functions, including chemotaxis regulation, signal transduction, secretion and chitin.
Source: Rfam